AAUUUGACAAUUGACAGAUUACCUUGUAAAUUGUAAAAAAUAAAUAAAGUUAUCCUUGGUUAUCGGAACGGGAACAAAACAAAAACAAAGUCGGGAACAAUGGAUAAAAGCCAUAAGGAGAACAGAAACAGAACUAAAAUUAAAAUAUGAAAGAAUAUGCAAUAAACUUUGUAUAAGUGGAAGGCCAGCCACUUCAAAAAGAUAUUCCAAACCAAAACGGGUUACUAAAGCAGGCGAUAAAAAGAAAAGGUGAUCUAGAAUGCAAGAAAAGAGCUGAUGAAAGAAGUAAAUGUAAAGAAAAUAAUGCCCAGACUUCUCUCGACCAUGUAAAAACACCAGAUAUUUUAUACAGGGUGUAACGAAAAUACAGGUCAUAAAUUUAAUCACAUAUUCUGGGACCAAAAAUAGUUUGAUUGAAUCUAACUUACCUUAGUACAAAUGUACAUAUAAAAAAAGUUACAACCCUUUGAAGUUACAAAAUUAAAAUCGAUUUUUUCCAAUAUAUCGAAAACUAUUAAAGAUUUUGUAUUGAAAAUGGACAUAUGGCAUUUUUAUGACAGUAGCAUCUUAAAAAAAAAUUAUAGUGAAAUUUGGACACCCUAUAAAAAUUUUAUGGGGGUUUAGUUCCUUUAAACUCCCCCAAACUUUUGUGUACGUUCCAAAUAAAUUGUUAUUGUAGUACCAUUACUUAAACACAAUAUUUUUAAAACUUUUUUGGCUCUUAGUACUUUUUCGAAAAUUCAAUUUUUAUCGAGAUAUUUUAAAUAUUUGUCAAAUCCACCACAUAUUUGUAUAUGGUUAAGUACGAUUAUGGAGACUUAGUAAAAAUAUGAAAAUUUAUGUAUGAUUUACAUUUUUAGGUAUAUUUUGAACCGUAUUAAAAAAGAAGCCGUAUCUCGAUAAAAGUUGCCUUCUUGAAAAAAUACAAAGAGGCAAAAAAGUUUUAAAAACAUUUUGUUUAACUAAUGGUAUCGCAGUAAUAGUUUAAUUGGAGCGUACAUAAACAUUUGGGGGGUUUAAAGGAACAAAACCCCCAUAAAAUUUUUAUGUAAACAUAUUAAAAAAGAAGCCGCAACUCGAUAAAAACUGCUAUAUCGAAAAAAUACUAAGAGCCAAAAAAGUUUUAAAAAUAUUGAAUUUAACUAAUGGUACCACAAUAAUAAUUUAAUUUGAACGUACAGAAAAGUUUGGGGGGGUUUAAGGGAACAAAACCCCCAUAAAAUUUGUAUGGGGAGCACAAAUUUCACUAUAAUUUUUCUUUAAAAUGCUCCUGCCGUAAGAAUGCCACAUAUAUAUUUUCAAUAAAAAAUCUCUAAUAGUUUUCGAUAUAUUCGAAAAAAUCGAUUUUCAUUUUGUAACUUCAAAGGGCUAUAACUUUUUUUAUGUGCAUAUUUGUACUAAGGUAAGUUAGGUUCAUUCGAACUAUUUUUGGUCUCAGAAUAUGUGAUUUUAUUUAUGACCUGUAUUUUUGUUACACCCUGUAUAUUAUGUAGAAAAAGGAAAAACUGCUGGAACUUUAAUUUAAAGGCUUUUGACUAGUGAAGAUUUGGAUAAACAACAGGAGUUACUUUGGGCUAUAAUAGCUACGUGAAAAUUUAUUUUCUUGUGGCUUCCUAUGCUUAUUCUUAUUAACUAUACACUUUGAUAUGUUUUUAGUCGCAUGAAGAUUUUAUAGUUUAUUAUUUUAUGUAUAUUGUUAUAUUUGUGUUGAAUAAACAUUAUUAUUAUUAUUA
Molecule: long non-coding RNA, 1733 nt
Organism: Diabrotica virgifera virgifera (western corn rootworm)
Lineage: Eukaryota; Metazoa; Arthropoda; Insecta; Coleoptera; Chrysomelidae
Exons: 3
Source: RefSeq, a predicted model, not a curated record